RNAcentral lists this transfer RNA (76 nucleotides) under Leuconostoc litchii. RNAcentral's name for it is "tRNA-Thr". It matches the Rfam family "tRNA". From Rfam's summary of the family: Transfer RNA (tRNA) molecules are approximately 80 nucleotides in length. Their secondary structure includes four short double-helical elements and three loops (D, anti-codon, and T loops). The record is from RNAcentral. Lineage: Bacteria; Bacillati; Bacillota; Bacilli; Lactobacillales; Lactobacillaceae.
UGCCGACCUAGCUCAGUUGAUAGAGCAUCUCACUAGUAAUGAGGGGGUCGCCGGUUUGAGCCCGGCGGUCGGCAUC